GUCCAGACUCCUACGGGAGGCAGCAGUAGGGAAUCUUUCACAAUGGGCGAAAGCCUGAUGGAGCAACGCCGCGUGCAGGAUGAAGGCCUUCGGGUUGUAAACUGCUUUUAUAAGCGAGAAAUAUGAUGGUAACUUAUGAAUAAGGAUCGGCUAACUACGUGCCAGCAGCCGCGGUCAUACGUAGGAUCCGAGCAUUAUCCGGAGUGACUGGGUGUAAAGAGUUGCGUAGGCGGUAUGUCAAGUCAAGGGUGAAAUCCCCGCGCUCAACGUGGGAACUGCCUUUGAAACUGGCAAACUGGAGUGUGUGAGAGGAUAGUGGAAUUCCAGGUGUAGGAGUGAAAUCCGUAGAUAUCUGGAGGAACAUCAGUGGCGAAGGCGACUAUCUGGCACAUAACUGACGCUGAGGAGCGAAAGCGUGGGUAGCAAACAGGAUUAGAUACCCCAGUAAA
RNAcentral lists this ribosomal RNA (449 nucleotides) under uncultured bacterium. RNAcentral describes it as "partial 16S ribosomal RNA". It matches the Rfam family "Bacterial small subunit ribosomal RNA", at positions 329 to 794 of the family's 1533-position model. The record is from RNAcentral.